RNAcentral lists this long non-coding RNA (7987 nucleotides) under Homo sapiens (human). RNAcentral's name for it is "non-protein coding lnc-GTDC1-27:2". Lineage: Eukaryota; Metazoa; Chordata; Mammalia; Primates; Hominidae. The record is from RNAcentral.
AUUGGCAGUUGGCCCUUCAGCUGCUGUACAGCCUCGGUAGGGGCCCAGGGGUAUUGAAUCUGGUUUUGGACCACAGGAGGAGAGUGAAGUGAAGUACAACCAAUAUUGUCAACAGCAAGAUCGUCAAAAAGUAAACUCCAUGAAGACAAGGAUGUCAUGUUUAUGUUCAUUUUGAUAGCACCUAUAAUAAUAUAUCAGCACCUGUUAUUCAACAGAAGGUCAACAAACAUUUGUUGAAUGAAGAAAAAACAAAACAAAACAAAAAACCCCUCUGCUUUUCCCCAGAAAAAGUCAGCAUCACAUUUCCGCCAUCUCAUCCACUGCCUCACAGCUUUUUCCAGGUCUUAACUUUUACAGAGCCAUUCACAAGAGAUCAACAGAUAUAAGGCAUUGGUUUCUAUUUCUUUAGAAAAAAAAGAAAAAUCUGAUACAACUUCACCAGCCAACGUGAUAUUUCUGGUUUCUUGAAUUAUUUGGCAAAGGGAAAGCACAGGUUGAACUGUUUAGAAAAGAUAAUGGAUUCUUUCUUGAAUUUGGAGGACUGGAGCCUUUACACAUGGUUUCAAAGUUGAUUGAACACUUUAAGUCCAAUGAAGGCAGAUUCUGCAAAUGCAAAGAAGUCCUAGCUGAUGUGAACCCAAAGUGUGAACACAUCACACCACAACCAUGUGGAAACAAUAGCCUGUAUGGGCAACAAAGGUUUCUAUUUAAUGAGAGAAGUGCCAUUGUUCUUGAAAGCCUAAUUUUGUAAACAUCUUACAGUGCUGACUCAUCAGUCCUGAAAAUCCAAUAAUAAAUCACCACUGUGAUUUAGCACCGGUGCUAGAAUUCAGAUCACGAAGCAUGCUACAGCAUCAGCUGAAACUCAAACAGGUCGCUGAAAGGUGCAUUUCAUCAGCAAGGAAUUUAAUUCAUAUCAAAGGAAUUCUACCCCAAAUGAGUGGCAACUGGCUACUUUUGAAAGCUGUUAACUGUUGGGGGAAAUGAGUUGUGUUAGUCCCCUAUAAAAAGGUAAUAAUCUAUAAUCCUGGAUGCUUUAAAAGUCGUUUCCUCGAACUCCACAGCAAACAAUAUAAAAUAACAACCCAAUAUAUUUGUAUCUUAAUCAUGUUUGGUAAUGAAGCCCUUUAGAUAAUUGGCACUGCUUCUGUAGUAGGCCAAACUUUCUUUCAAGUUACAAAUACUCACAAAAGGUUUACAUUAUAAGGGGCUGCUUUGGAGAUGUGCAGAUUUAGUUUGGAAGUACAAAGUGAACAUGCAAAUUGCCUUAUCUUGUGGGAUUCACAAACAAGCAUCAUUCAGAUUGAUUUAAUACAUGGCUUUUUAUCUUUAAAAGUGUUAAUUAGAAAAUAGGGACAGUUCUCUGAACACUUAAGAGUAAUAAAUAGAUCAAAACAGCAUCCAUGCUUCUGUGAUGGAACUUCUGAAGGCUUUGUAAAGGGAUUAAUACAAUUGUCAAAAAGACCACAGUAUUCAUAUUUAACAGUGCCACCAAGCAACAAUUACAUUUUUUAGGACUUUAUUGCUAAGUUUUUUAAUACUUGCUAUGCUCAGAAAACUGAGAUUUUGUACAACUUUUGUUCCAUACUUUGAAGUUACUAUUUUAAUUUUCCCACAUUGGACCUCCAAACACAUUUUUCCAGAGAACAUUCUAAAAUGGCAAGCUAAUAUAGGAAGUUAUUCAGGGAAGAAUGGAUUAUAGAAGUUCACAAAGUGGAUUACUAAGAGAAAAAUAAUUGUGAUUCAUGCAUCUUCUUUUGAAUGAAAAAUAUAAACUAUUGUCUGACAACUUGCCUCCACUUUGAAAUUUAUCUAUAAUAUGAGAAAGUGCUCGAGGAGUUAAAUCUUGACUCUGCCACUGACCACCUCAGUGAUUGAUAUGGUGUGACGGUUUGACUGUGUUCCCACCCAAAUCUCAACUUCAAUUGUAUUUCCCUUAAUUCCCACGUGUUGUGGGAAGGACCCAGGGGAAGGCAAUUGAAUCAUGGGGCGGGGGGUGGGGUGGGGGGGUGGUCUUUCCCGUGCUGUUCUCGUGAUAGUGAAUAAGUUUCAGGAGAUCUGAUGAUUUAUCAGGGGUUUCCACUUCUGCUUCUUCCUUAUUUUUCUCUUGCUGUCAUCAUGUAAGAAGUGCCUUUUGCCUCCCACCAAGAUUCUGAGGCCUCCUCAGCCUUGUGGAACUGUAAGUCCAAUUAAAUCUCUUUUUCUUCCCAGUCUCAGGUAUGUCUUUAUCAGCAGCAUGAAAACAGACUAAUACAGUGACCUUAGGUAAGUGAAAUCACAUCUCUGAGCUUCAGUUUAUCUGUAAGAUGUGCAAAACUAUAGUCUCAUAGGGUCUUAUGGUGGGGAUUAAAUAAGAUUGUGUUGAACAGUGCCUGGCACUUGAGUAAGCACCCUGUAAGUUAUGAUAAUUGAGGCAAUUGCUUGUGAAUCUUGACGGUGAUUUUCACUAGGCUUAGUUCUACGGUUAGCCUAACAUCCUCACUAUAAAUAGUUGUGAAAUGCCUCUAUAACUUUAUAAGGAAGACAAAAACACCCAGUGCAGGGUUCAUAACCUUAGCUUCUGAGUCUCUAGUGACCUUGACUUCCCCUCUCUUCAGCCAUUAGUACGAUUCAGAGGGCCAAGCCAUCCUUUGAGCCAUUUCCUUUCCAGGGCCUCUAUUCGUGUUUGUUUUAUUACUACUUCCUCUUUAUUCAAUGUCUUGAUUUAACUAAUAAGAUAUAUAGGUGGCAAAAUAGUAAACAAAUAUAAAAUACAUAAUGACAUUGUCUCUCCCCACCCCUAAUUCCUUCUUUGCCAGAAAACACAGCAUUUUGUCCCUCGUUCUAGAAAUUUUCUUUGCCUCUUGCUUUUCAUUUUUCUCUCUUCUAAAAAAACUUUUCUGGAUGACUCCUUUCAAUUCUUUAAGCUUUGUGUUUCAUUUCUUUGACCACAUGGUCCAAAGCUCCUGCUUCACCCAAUUCCUUCUGACCUAGAACCACAUUCCCCAGGCCUUUGGCCCUGGGACUGUCACCCUCUCUCUUCUUAGUCAUCAAAUGGCCCUUCCAUUUUUCUUCUCUGCCUGUCUGAUCAGUCUUUCAGUCACCCACCUACCUGCCCUCCAGAAACACUUCACUUCCUCCCCUUCUUCCGCCAUGCUAUGAAUUCAUUAACUGCUUGUCUACACUCACUUCAAGACAAUGGUAGUAGAAGGGCAAGUUACAAAACUCUAAUCUUGGAAAUCACUAUGAAUUUCUAUCAUUUCCUAUCGGCUUUGUUUUCCUCUUUUUGGUCUCAACUACCAUUAGCUUGUGUGAGCACACUGACAGGUCUGGCAAUAUACGAAAUGCUAUACAUGCAUUAUCUUAUUGAAUGUGUUCAUUAUUCCUUAAGAAAAUAAUGAGGGAACAAUUACUCCCAUUUUACAGAUGAGGAAACAUGUCUAGAGAAAUUAAGUAGUUUGUCUAAGGUCUCAUAACUUAGACUUGUGUGAGUAACUGAGGAUGCAUUCAGAAGUGGCCUGGCUAAGAGUUCAGCCACUGUGCCCUGCAGUCUCUCAUGGCCUUUCUGUUCUCUGCCAUCCCUUAAACUGAUUCUCAUCUGAUUCUAGUAGUCUAGGUGACACCCUCCACCACCAGCCAUAGCCAUCACCAGGUUAUGCUGCUUCCUAACUUACUGAGAACACGGAAGCUGCUCACAUCUUCCUUUCCAAUCGCCCUUCUUCUUCCCUUCCACACAUCUGUGAUCUACCUGUUUGUAAUUAGUUAUAAGCCAGAAGAUCUAGGCUGUCUCCCUUAUUCCUGAGCACAUAGAGACCCAGAGAGAAGAAGCACUUGUCCAGGCUUCCGUGGUGGAGUAGAAGCUAAAUGAGGACUAAAACACAGGCCUUGGAUCCUCCGUGAUCUUACUGCCCAGGGCUGCUUCCUAGAGGCUGCACUUUCAAAUGGGCUCUUGGCCAAGAUACCCUUUGUGUACUCCUUUGCCCUUCUCUUCCUUCUAUCUUGCAGUCCCAUAGUUUAAUGAAUGAUUCCUUUUUCCAUUGGUUCCUUCUCUCUGUUUACAGAAGUUUUUUUUUUUUUUUUUUUUCCUGAGAUGGAGUUUCACUCUUGUCACUCAGGCCAGAGUGCAAUGGUGCAAUCUUGACUCACUGCAGCCUCCACCUCCUCGGUUCAAGCAGUUCUCCUGCCUCAGCCUCCUGAGUAGCUGGGAUUACAGGUGGGUGCCACCAUGCCUGGCUAAUUUUUUUGUAUUUUUUUUUUAAUAGAGACGGGGUUUCGCCAUGUUGGCCACGCUGGUAUCGAACUCCUAGCCUCAGGAGACCCACCUGCCUAUGCCUCCCAAAUUGCUGGAUUAAAUGGGAGAGCCACCCCACCCAACCUGUUUACAUAAGUUUUUAUUUUCAUUACCAAGAGAUAAAAACAGAAAGCUCUCUCUUGUCUUUGCUCAUUUUCUGCCUCUCUUUCUCCCUCUCUCGGUGCAAAAUUUCAUCAGUUAGUUGUUUCCAUGCACUAUGGUUUUUUUUUUUUUUUUUUUUUUUUUUUUUUUUUUUUUGAGGUGGAGUCUUGCUCUGUCGCCCAAGCUGGAGUGCAAUGGUACGAUCUCGGCUCACUGCAACCUCUGCUUCUUGGGUUAAAGCGAUUCUUCUGCCUCAGCCUCCUGAGUAGCUGGGACUACAGGUGCAUGCCACCAUGCCCAGCUAAUUUUUGUGUUUUUAGUAGAGACAGGGUUUCACCAUAUUGGCCAGGCUGGUCUCUAAUUCCUGACCUUGUGAUCCGUCUGCCUUGGCCUCCCAAAGUGCUGGGAUUAUAGGCGUGAGCCACCGCGGCCGGCCUCCAUGCAUUGCAUUCUUUUUCACUCACUCAUUCCUUCACGUCUUGCAAUUUGACUUUCACACCAGCUUCCAUAUACCCUAGUUGAAACUCAUUCUUAAAGAUACAGUCUCUUUGUCAAAUUCAGUCUCUACAGUUCAAAAAGUUUUCACAGCUGCAGCUGCUAGAAGCCCCUGCAGGUUUAAACUCAGAUUCCUAACCUUAGGCAGAAAUUUUUGGGUCUCUAGCCCCAUGCUCUGAGACUAUACAACUAGUUAUCCAUGUUGUCCUUUUUGCCUUGACUUUCUUCCAAAUUCUUAUAUUGUCCAAUUUCUGCCUCCCAGUUUUACUUCUUGUACUGGAAUCUGUUUUGGAAUCUGCCUAGAAUCCCAUAUCAUCUAGUUUCCUGGGGCAUUGCCACUUUCACUAGAAAGCAGAAUCCCACCCCUGCAUUCCAGCCUGGCGACUGAGAUUCUCCUAACCCCUGGUUGAUGAAUAACUGGGAUGUGCCUCCACUAGCUCUACCUUUUUGAGUCUCUCAUUAUCACUUGCUCUUGGAUUCUCCAGCAGAUCACUUAAUUCUGAAGAGUGCCAGCUACAUCUCUGAACCACGCCAAUGUUCUGUUGCUCUAGUAAACUUCCUCCCAGCAAAUAGGUUUGUCCUCCUAGUGCUAGGGAGAGGUCAAAUUCCAGAUCCCAGUUUCUUCUAGAUGGCUUAUGCUAAUGUGUUUAACUGGUCCAUGCCUGGGCCUAUCAAUUGCAGACUUUAUCAAUUGCAGACUCUGUAAGCAUUAAAUCCUGCUGCUACUCCCACACUCUGGCCCCACCCAUCUUUUCUCCCUCAUUGCCUUGAAUGACAACCCAAUGUAAGUUCUCUUCCUGUGUUCCUGGUGGUGGUCUUAUUUCUUUGGUUGUUCAUAAUAUUCUCUCUUGUCUUUUUACUUUCUCUCAUUUGGAAUUCUCAUUUAUUCCUGUAACUUAGAUAUUUCACAUGUCCAAUACCACUAAUGUCAAUAUGACUGCCAAGGGCUACACAUACAUUUACAACUCUCUACUCUUGAGCUUUUUAAAAUAGAUGUCCAAGAGACACAUGCAUAUUAAUUCACCCAAUCAAUCCACCAUUUUCCAACACCAUAAAAAACCAGUUUCUCUUGCUGUUUUCUCCCUACUAUUCUAAAAACUACCAUUUUUCUAGUUAAAAUUUUGUGGUCAUGAUUGAUUUUGCUGCUUUUUACAUCCUAUCAGUCACCACAUCCAGUCACUUCCUUUUCAUUGUCAAUUGUAUCUUGGCUUUCCUUUAUUCUGGUUAAAGACUUCAUACUCUCUUAGUUGAAAGCCACAUUUUCUUGCAUGGUUUCUCCUGGCUCUGAGUUAUUCCUGUACCUGCUUUGACUCCAUGUUCCAUGUCACCAUUGGACCAACCUUUCUAGAGUGGGGUUCUAAUACAUGAUGUCUGCAAGAAUUACUUUAUAAUAUCUGGUUGCUAUAUGGAUAUUAGUUGUUCAUCUUAUUUUGUCACUGACUUGGUAAAGUAUCUUUAAGUUCUCCUGAUGCCUACUGAAUAAAGACAAAAUGUCACUGUCUAGCUUUUAAGAUCCUCUGUAAUAUUUUCUAAGUUUGCCUUUCUAGAUUUAUUUUCUACUAAUCCCAAUGGAUUACAUUCUAUCUAGCUGAAAGCCUUGCCAUGUGUUGGACACAUUCAAUUUCUUUGGUGACUUGAACUCAGGUUCAUGCCAUUCUACCCCUCCUCCACCCAACCCCAGACUAUCUCUGCCCCAGUGAGAGGGAAAUAAGCUGAACAAAUAUCUAGCAUUCUUUGGCAAAGGAUGGCUAUCAUUAAUUAAAUUUUUAGGUUCAGCAUUGGUCCAUCUGCUAGUUUUGUACUUCUUUUUUGGGUCAUGUUUGAACAUUAAGUCGUAAUCUUUCAUCCACAUGGAUAUCUUCAGAAGAAUGAAAAGUAAUACUAUUGAUCAUGUAGCAGAGAUAAAGGAGUUGGAGGGUUUCAUUGAUGACAUACUAAAUUUAAGCCAAGAGCAUAAAGUAACAAUUAAAAAGCUAGAAAUAUCUUAGGCUGCAUAGAUUGAAAUUAUCUUGUGAGAAAUUACAAUGCCCGGGCUCUUAGUAUGGCUUGGACUAUGCCAGGAUAUUAUGUCUGGGUACCCAUUUGAAGAGAAUCAUGGCAGAAUGGAGUCUGCACAGAAAAGGAUGGCCAGGAUGGUGAAAUACAGAAAUUAUUUUAUGAGUUAAAUGAGAGAAGGAACCAGGAUGAUUUAACCUGUAGAGGAGAUGAUUAGAGAAAUAAAUGUCAUCUUUAUAUGUAUGUAAGGCUAUUAUAAAGAAAAGGCAUAUGUUUGUUCAGUCAACAAAUAGAAGUAGGACAAUUAGAACUAUUUGUGAAUCAAUAUUAUAAAAACUUUCUAGCAAGACCUCUCUCUCAUUCAGAGGACAGUAAAUAGAGUCUGAGUGACCAAGAUUGCUUUAGAAGGGUUUCCUACAGCAGGAGGAGGUUGGACACAAACAACUCUUUAAAAUUUGAGAUUCUGAAAUGGAAAAAAAAAAAAAACCUCUGAGAAGUCAUUGGAAUAACUUUAUGUUAAAAAGGUAUGGACUAAGGUAGAAGUCCUGGCAAUGAAAAGACAGCCCCCACUCCUUCAAAAAAUUGUGAAUUGUGAGAGAAAUAUCAAUGAAGUUCAUAUUUGGGUGACUUGGCAAAAGUGAUCAUUUGCCUGGAGAGUUCACGGUGGCAUGGUCACUAUGAAAGAGCACAUGACCACAGAAAAACUUUGGACUGGGAUGAGUUGUCUUGGAGUAAACUGCAAUUCACCUGGGAAAGUGGUGAAAAUAUUACAGGCAUGGAAAUUCUGUAGCUAUGGGAGAAACUCAUGGUUGUGCCUAAUUCCCAGGAGACCAUUUCUGAGCAUCUACAGCAGACACAGCCCCAUGCCCACCACCUGGCCUUGAAGUUCACCUGAUGGACUUGAUACCUAUAGUCUCUUCCCUUAUGUCUCAGCUGCCUCUCUCCCCAUCUGCAUUCUAUUUUCCUUGCACAGUGUUCUGGCUAAACUCAUGGGUGCCAAGCCAUCUCUAGGAGCUGUCUGUCUCUGGUCUUCCAUUUGUCUUCAGGUUGUCAAUUGCAAUUGUGAACACAGUUGAGUUUUAUUUCUCACAGCUGCACUACCAGUGGCAUAAACUGGUGUUCAAU